This 297-nucleotide ribosomal RNA is filed under the name uncultured bacterium. RNAcentral's name for it is "partial 16S ribosomal RNA". It matches the Rfam family "Bacterial small subunit ribosomal RNA", at positions 29 to 334 of the family's 1533-position model. The record is from RNAcentral.
AACGAACGCUGGCGGCAUGCCUAACACAUGCAAGUCGAACGAGACCUUCGGGUCUAGUGGCGCACGGGUGAGUAACACGUGGGCAACCUGCCUCAUAGAGGGGAAUAGCCUCCCGAAAGGGAGAUUAAUACCGCAUAAGAUUGUAGCUUCGCAUGAAGUAGCAAUUAAAGGAGCAAUCCGCUAUGAGAUGGGCCCGCGGCGCAUUAGCUAGUUGGUGAGGUAGCGGCUCACCAAGGCGACGAUGCGUAGCCGACCUGAGAGGGUGAUCGGCCACAUUGGGACUGAGACACGGCCCAG